CGCUAGCGGCAGGCCUAAUACAUGCAAGACGAACGGUAAGUUGAGUAGCAAUACUUAGCCAAGAGUGUCGUACGGGUGCGUAACACGUAUGCAACCUACCCUAUACAGGAGGAUAGCCUAGGAAACCUGAAUUAACCCUUCAUAGUAUUAUUGGAUGGCAUCAUUUGAUAAUUAAAACUGAGGUGGUAUAGGAUGGGCAUGCGUCUGAUUAGUUAGUUGGCGGGGUAAUGGCCCACCAAGACGAUGAUCAGUAGGGGUUCUGAGAGGAAGAUCCCCCACACUGGCACUGAGAUACGGGCCAGACUCCUACGGGAGGCAGCAGUAGGGAAUAUUGGUCAAUGGAUGCAAGUCUGAACCAGCCAUGCCGCGUGCAGGAAGAAGGCCUUCUGGGUUGUAAACUGCUUUUGCCAGGGGAUAAAAUUUCCAUGCGUGGAAAACUGAAGGUACCUGGUGAAUAAGCCACGGCUAACUACGUG
RNAcentral lists this ribosomal RNA (476 nucleotides) under uncultured bacterium. RNAcentral's name for it is "bacterial SSU rRNA". It matches the Rfam family "Bacterial small subunit ribosomal RNA", at positions 34 to 507 of the family's 1533-position model. The record is from RNAcentral.